Non-coding RNA from Procambarus clarkii (red swamp crayfish), 1662 nucleotides. The record is from RefSeq and is a predicted model, not a curated record. NCBI's taxonomy places the organism in Eukaryota, Metazoa, Arthropoda, Malacostraca, Decapoda, Cambaridae.
UUCCAUUCCCUAUGAACAUCAAAGCGAAAAGCACAGGAAUCUGUACACCAGUUGACUGACGAUUGAGAAGCGGGACCAAAGAACCAGAGCUCAACCCCCGCAAGCACAAUUAGUUGAGUACAUAUCAAAAACGUACUAUCAUCAAUUUAGCGAAUAUGCAGAUGCACGGUUAGCAAUAAACGAGACAGGUUCUUUGCCAUCAAUGCAGUCUGCUUGUUCACCGCCAAUAAUACAACCCAUAUUCAGUUGUAUUGUCAUGUAUACAGGUUUCCUGCCACCAAUGCAGGUCCCAUACAAGUUUACUGCCAUUACUGUUACUUGCACGCUGAUGCAGCUCUACGUGGCCUGUUGGUCGAGUCACACGUUGCUAUAUGCAGGUUCAUCAUCACUGCAGCCCACAUAUAGCUUCUCCGCUAUCAAUGCAGCGUAACUACAGCUUCAGCACCAUCAAUGCAGCGUAACUACAGCUUCAGCGCCAUCAAUGCAGCGUAACUACAGCCUCUCCGGUAUCAAUGCAGCGUAACUACAGCUUCAGCGCCAUCAAUGCAGCGUAACUACAGCUUCAGCGCCAUCAAUGCAGCGUAACUACAGCUUCAGCGCCAUCAAUGCAGCGUAACUACAGCUUCAGCGCCAUCAAUGCAGCGUAACUACAUCUUCAGCGCCAUCAAUGCAGCGUAACUACAGCUUCAGCGCCAUCAAUGCAGCGUAACUACAGCUUCAGCGCCAUCAAUGCAGCGUAACUACAGCUUCAGCGCCAUCAAAGCAGCGUAACUACAGCUUCAGCGCCAUCAAUGCAGCGUAACUACAGCUUCAGCGCCAUCAAUGCAGCGUAACUACAGCUUCAGCGCCAUCAAUGCAGCGUAACUACAGCUUCAGCGCCAUCAAUGCAGCGUAACUACAGCUUCAGCGCCAUCAAUGCAGCGUAACUACAGCUUCAGCGCCAUCAAAGCAGCCUUAUACAGUGCUUAAUUAAUCGUGGGAAUCGUACGCAGUGAGGGAAGCUCUCAGGCGAGUGGUAAACAUCUUGACGCACCAGGCCCCCAGAGCUCGUCACGUGACGCACCAGGCCCCCAGAGCUCGUCACGUGACGCACCAGGCCCCCAGAGCUCGUCACGUGACGCACCAGGCCCCCAGAGCUCUAUUGCAGUCUCCCCUCCCGGCCCCACCCACAAAAAACAACUGCAAUUGGACUCCUGCGUGAGAACUGCCAACCAUCGCUACAGGUGUUUCAACAACCUGUCCUCACAGUUAAGGCGUCGUUUAUGUACGGUGGAGACAUACGCGUACAAUUUCAACGCUUUUAAAACAUAUGAAAACAUGUUCGCUUCUUCUCAACAUAAAACAUGAUGAUAACGCUUCUUUGGACCUAUGAAAAUCUAGGUGUCGAAACUGGCUGGGUCGGCGUAGGCUUGUAUAUUUUCGUAGUGUAAAUGCAUACAUAUUGUAUGUUGUCUAUCGCACAAAAUAGGCUGUAAACAUUAUACAUAUAAAUUAUAUUCUAACUACAGGCCUAUAACUAAAAUGUGAUGGUACUAGUAGCUUUAAAAUACAAACUUAAAUACAAGAACACUUCCUCAUCCAAAAGCUAAAUUAUUAAUUAGUUAUGUAAUUUAUGAUGUGUGUUCUGUUUAUGACAAGACUGUAAUAAUAUAUCCAACAUUC